GGCGGGGAUGAGGGGCCGAACCCUGGGGGGGGAGGGGCGGUAGCGAUCACGUGACGCGGUUUCACUGUUUACACGCGGAACGGCCGGAGCGUUUGGCCUCAGUCAGUCGUUGGGCUCCGUUUCGGUU
This is a non-coding RNA of Myotis lucifugus (little brown bat), 127 nucleotides long. Lineage: Eukaryota; Metazoa; Chordata; Mammalia; Chiroptera; Vespertilionidae. The record is from Rfam.